CGUUUAGAAUAUAUUCUUUGGUGACAUUAUCCCACAGUGGAUAAUUAUUUUAUCGUAGGGACACACAUAAAGGGAAAAUGCGUUUGAGUUUGACAACUGGACAAAGCUGAAAAUGAAGCAUCGCUUGGAUUAGCAUGAACUAAGUUAGCUCCAUCCUACUAAAGCUAGCUAGUGUUUUCAGUAACUAGCUAAAGUUCUUUUAUGCCUUUAACGUGGAUUUUCUUUGUUAACCUCUGUUUGUCAGAAUGUCGACCAUAACUCGACAGUGGCUGCAGCUGCACAGAGUCUUAUAAACCUAAAAAAUAUAGAUAACGACUGACUUUAUGUUGUUAGAAAUGUAUUGCCUUUUCAUGGUUAAGUUACUUUAUGUUACAUAGCAUAACGUUAACCUUUCCAAUCCUCUUUGAUAGUGUAUUCUGAUACAUAAGUUAGGCUGUGUUCUAAGUUUGCCCACUUUGCAUAUUUUGUAAGGCAUAACUGUCAUGCUGUUUGUUACAUGUAUGUGAGAUGAAGUAAUUUAAUAAUACUAAUAACUAAUAGUAAAAGUAAUUUAAUGUGACCAGUGCAUUAAUGUAAAAUCAUAUUUGUCUAUUUUAGGAACAACUGAAAACAGACCUUCUUCACAGACUUCUGAGUAAAAUUUCCCAGGUCACACAGAGACUCCCGCUAGAUGUGGGCUAUUUGCAGUUUGUAGUCAACCAGGAGAUGGUCCUGUUUAGGUCAUUGUCAGGCCAAGUUGAGAUGCCACAAGAUGUUGUAAAUGCAUUGACAGAGUUGUCAAUACUUGUCAAUGCAGAGGACAGCUCUAAUAUGAGUCUUUGUCAGGUGCCAGUGUUGCAAGCAGAAAUGGGACGGCCAAAAUAUGUUGUGUCUCAUCAGCAACUACAAAGCCUGGUAGAAAUGUCCCUACCAGUGUCAUGCAUUGCAAAACUUCUGGGUGUAUCUGAGAGGACAGUGAAACGGCGCAUGCAUGAAUAUGGCCUUUCCAUAAUGCAGUAUUACAGUACCUUAACUGAUGAACAACUUGACAAUUUGGUGAGGUCGGUGAAGGCCAGAACACCACAUGUAGGGUGCAGAAUGAUGAAAGGAAUCCUGCAGGCCAUGGGUCACCGUGUCCAGUGGAACAGGGUGUCUUCAUCCAUGCAUCGUGUAGACUCCGUUGGUGUACUCUCAAGACUGACAAGGUUGGGGUGUGUUGCAAGAAGGACUUAUUCUGUCCAGGGUCCUCUGCACUUGGUGCAUAUCGACACAAAUCAUAAGCUCAUCAGGUAGGUCAUAUAUUUUUGCUCAGUAUGAUAAAUUAAAAAUGAAAACAUUAAUAUUCCCCCAAAAUUCCCCACCACAUUUUUAACACUGUUGUUUUGCAUCAGCAAAGAAAUUUACACAAGUACUACAUCAAACUGAUUCAGUGUCGUCCCCCCCAACAGAUAUGGCCUUGUUAUUUUUGGAGGGAUUGAUGGCUUCUCACGAAAGGUAUGAUGACUACUAAAUGAGAUUCAAAAUGACAGGCAUGGUUCUACUUCUUGUUAUAGAUUUGAAAAAUGAAAUGCUUUCAUUUAAUUUCCAGUGAGUGAUAUUCUCUUCUUCAGAUCAUGUACCUAGGUGCUGCGACCAAUAAUAAAGCAUCCACUGCACUUGAUUUCUUCUUUGAGGCAGUGCAGAAGUAUGGCUUUCCAUUAAGAGUAAGAGGUGACCAAGGAUUGGAAAACGUUGGUGUUGCGUGAUGCAUGUUCACCAUUAGAGGCUGUGGAAGGGGGAGUUUCCUGUCAGGAAAGAGUGUACACAACCAAAGAAUAGAACGUUUGUGGCGAGAUGUUUGGAUGACUGUUUCCAAUGUGCACUACGAGAUUCUUCACAGCCUUGAGGACGAAGGUGUUCUAGAUCCUUCUGACAGCAUCCAUCUUUUCUGUGCCCAGCAUGUGUUUCUUCCACGUCUGCAGAGGGAUCUCGAUGUCUUCAGGGUGGGGUGGGAUAAUCACCCUCUGAGAACAGAGCAGAAUCUGUCCCCGCAACAACUGUGGAUGAUGGGGCUCCUCCUGAAUCCUGUUGAUGCUCCAGACCUGACAGAGGCAGUACAAUAUUCUUGGCACAUGCUGACACAACGGGGUAACACACACUGAUGGCCAAAGACUGCACUACAGUCAUGGUUAAACUUGAUCAUUACAGCAAAAUCCUUCUUCUCUGAGGGAAGAAGUGGGAUGUGACCUUGGCCUGUGAUCCACUGGAGAAACCUGGCAGGUGUGAUGGAAUGUAGGCCAUUUUGGUCAUCUACCUGGUCUUCAGCUAUGAAGCAAACAGAUAAAACAACAAGUGUUAUGUGACCAUUAAAAAUGUUAUUCCUUA
RNA transcript from Micropterus dolomieu (smallmouth bass), 2343 nucleotides. RefSeq lists it as uncharacterized. The record is from RefSeq and is a predicted model, not a curated record. NCBI's taxonomy places the organism in Eukaryota, Metazoa, Chordata, Actinopteri, Centrarchiformes, Centrarchidae. The transcript has 4 exons.